AGUGGCGGACGGGUGAGUAACGCGUGGGUAACCUACCCUGUACAGGGGGAUAACAGUCAGAAAUGACUGCUAAUACCGCAUAAGACCACAGCACCGCAUGGUGCAGGGGUAAAAACUCCGGUGGUACAGGAUGGACCCGCGUCUGAUUAGCUGGUUGGUGAGGUAACGGCCCACCAAGCCUUCGAUGGAUAGGGGUUCUGAGAGGAAGGUCCCCCACAUUGGAACUGAGACACGGUCCAAACUCCUACGGGAGGCAGCAGUGAGGAAUAUUGGUCAAUGGACGAGAGUCUGAACCAGCCAAGUAGCGUGAAGGAUGACUGCCCUAUGGGUUGUAAACUUCUUUUAUACGGGAAUAAAGUGAGGCACGUGUGCCUUUUUGUAUGUACCGUAUGAAUAAGGAUCGGCUAACUCCGUGCCAGCAGCCGCGGUAAUACGGAGGAUCCGAGCGUUAUCCGGAUUUAUUGGGUUUAAAGGGAGCGUAGGCGGACGCUUAAGUCAGUUGUGAAAGUUUGCGGCUCAACCGUAAAAUUGCAGUUGAUACUGGGUGUCUUGAGUACAGUAGAGGCAGGCGGAAUUCGUGGUGUAGCGGUGAAAUGCUUAGAUAUCACGAAGAACUCCGAUUGCGAAGGCAGCUUGCUGGACUGUAACUGACGCUGAUGCUCGAAAGUGUGGGUAUCAAACAGGAUUAGAUACCCUGGUAGUCCACACAGUAAACGAUGAAUACUCGCUGUUUGCGAUAUACAGUAAGCGGCCAAGCGAAAGCGUUAAGUAUUCCACCUGGGGAGUACGCCGGCAACGGUGAAACUCAAAGGAAUUGACGGGGGCCCGCACAAGCGGAGGAACAUGUGGUUUAAUUCGAUGAUACGCGAGGAACCUUACCCGGGCUUGAAUUGCAACUGAAUGAUGUGGAGACAUGUCAGCCGCAAGGCAGUUGUGAAGGUGCUGCAUGGUUGUCGUCAGCUCGUGCCGUGAGGUGUCGGCUUAAGUGCCAUAACGAGCGCAACCCUUAUCGAUAGUUACCAUCAGGUUAUGCUGGGGACUCUGUCGAGACUGCCGUCGUAAGAUGUGAGGAAGGUGGGGAUGACGUCAAAUCAGCACGGCCCUUACGUCCGGGGCUACACACGUGUUACAAUGGGGGGUACAGAAGGCAGCUACACGGCGACGUGAUGCUAAUCCCGAAAGCCUCUCUCAGUUCGGAUUGGAGUCCGCAACCCGACUCCAUGAAGCUGGAUUCGCUAGUAAUCGUGCAUCAGCCACGGCGCGGUGAAUACGUUCCCGGGCCCU
This 1284-nucleotide ribosomal RNA is filed under the name uncultured bacterium. RNAcentral's name for it is "bacterial SSU rRNA". It matches the Rfam family "Bacterial small subunit ribosomal RNA", at positions 94 to 1382 of the family's 1533-position model. The record is from RNAcentral.